UACCGUAACCCCCCCCAGAGAGGAGCAGGGGAGAAUCCCAGGGGAACCACCCAGCAGCCACAGUGCAGAAGCUCCAGGGAGCUGCAGCGACGAGCCCAUAGGCUCCGCCGGCAGCCGUCUACGCCCAAGCAGAUGCAGCCAUGGGCCCCGAGACCCCGGGACAUAUCACUCCCCAAGCAGAGGCCUGACCGAGCCCAGGGGUCCAGGCCCCGGCAAGCAGCCACCAGGAGUGAGCCAGCACACACCAAAGCAACCAGCCCCGGAUACCGAGAACCACAAGUACACCGGCGGGCAGAGAUACCAACAACUGGCAUUUGGUGAGGGAAUAGGCCCCACAUUCGAUGGGGGCCUAAACUGAUCCAGAAGAGGGAGCUGCCCAAGACCCAACCUGACACAAAAAACAGUUUGGGACCAUGAAAAGCAGUCAGCUUGCAUGAUUCAUUUGCACUCUGGAUGUGGCGUGUGGAAUAUCUCCUGCUCUGACUGCAGCUGAAAGGGACAGCUGUGUGAGGACUGGUCUGCCUGCAUGCUUUGGGACUGGGGAGGAGCCUAGGGCUACACACGCUAUUUGAGAACGGUCCCCAGAGGAACUCGACCGAGGGACACAGCGCGCUAAUGUCUCUUUGCUGGCAAACAGACAUAACUCUUCAAACUAGAUCCAAGAGUGUCAAACGGUCACACAAUCAU
Molecule: long non-coding RNA, 687 nt
Organism: Girardinichthys multiradiatus
Lineage: Eukaryota; Metazoa; Chordata; Actinopteri; Cyprinodontiformes; Goodeidae
Exons: 3
Source: RefSeq, a predicted model, not a curated record